AUUGAACGCUGGCGGCAUGCUUUACACAUGCAAGUCGAACGGUAACAGGCCGCAAGGUGCUGACGAGUGGCGAACGGGUGAGUAAUGCAUCGGAACGUGCCCAAUCGUGGGGGAUAACGCAGCGAAAGCUGUGCUAAUACCGCAUACGAUCUACGGAUGAAAGCGGGGGACUCGCAAGAGCCUCGCGCGAUUGGAGCGGCCGAUGUCAGAUUAGGUAGUUGGUGGGGUAAAGGCUCACCAAGCCAACGAUCUGUAGCUGGUCUGAGAGGACGACCAGCCACACUGGAACUGAGACGCGGUCCAGACUCCUACGGGAGGCAGCAGUGGGGAAUUUUGGACAAUGGGCGCAAGCCUGAUCCAGCAAUGCCGCGUGCAGGAAGAAGGCCUUCGGGUUGUAAACUGCUUUUGUACGGAACGAAACGGUCUGGGUUAAUACCCUGGGCUAAUGACGGUACCGUA
This 459-nucleotide ribosomal RNA is filed under the name uncultured Hydrogenophaga sp. RNAcentral describes it as "bacterial SSU rRNA". It matches the Rfam family "Bacterial small subunit ribosomal RNA", at positions 30 to 482 of the family's 1533-position model. Lineage: Bacteria; Pseudomonadati; Pseudomonadota; Betaproteobacteria; Burkholderiales; Comamonadaceae. The record is from RNAcentral.